RNAcentral lists this ribosomal RNA (409 nucleotides) under bacterium. RNAcentral's name for it is "partial 16S ribosomal RNA". It matches the Rfam family "Bacterial small subunit ribosomal RNA", at positions 355 to 776 of the family's 1533-position model. The record is from RNAcentral.
UGGGGAAUAUUGCACAAUGGGCGAAAGCCUGAUGCAGCGACGCCGCGUGAGGGAUGACGGCCUUCGGGUUGUAAACCUCUUUCAGUAGGGACGAAGCGCAAGUGACGGUACCUGCAGAAGAAGCACCGGCUAACUACGUGCCAGCAGCCGCGGUAAUACGUAGGGUGCGAGCGUUGUCCGGAAUUACUGGGCGUAAAGAGCUCGUAGGCGGUUUGUCACGUCGUCUGUGAAAUCCUAGGGCUUAACCCUGGACGUGCAGGCGAUACGGGCUGACUUGAGUACUACAGGGGAGACUGGAAUUUCUGGUGUAGCGGUGGAAUGAACAGAUAUCAGGAAGAACACCGAUGGCGAAGGCAGGUCUCUGGGUAGUAACUGACGCUGAGGAGCGAAAGCAUGGGUAGCGAACAGG